Molecule: long non-coding RNA, 643 nt
Organism: Benincasa hispida (wax gourd)
Lineage: Eukaryota; Viridiplantae; Streptophyta; Magnoliopsida; Cucurbitales; Cucurbitaceae
Source: RefSeq, a predicted model, not a curated record
AACUCUUUAAUUCUCAUAUUAUACACAAACACACUCACACACACAAUAUACCACACUUUCAAGCUUCUCAUGGAGAUGGUUCGAAAGGUGGCGGUGGUGGCGGUGGUGAUAUUCGUUGGCCUAGCGGGAAUAUCGGUGGCGAUGGACGUGUGUGGCGUCAAUGAGGACGGUCUCACGGCGUGCAAGCCAUGGGUGACAAACCCAUGCCCUACUGAGCCACCGCCCGCUGUUUGUUGCGAUGACCUCUCGAAGGCCGACUUUGAUUGCUUUUGCAAAUAUAAACACUCUAUGUUGCUAUCCUCAUUUGGGAUCGAUCCUGAUCUUGCUCUUGCUUUGCCAGCCAAGUGCAGCAUCCCUAACACUCCCCCUUGCUCUUAAACAUCACUCAAAGAAAAUGAAAUUUCUAAGGGUCUAAGUGGAAUUAGAAUGUAAGAAGUCCAUGAUAUUGGGCCUCACUUAUCAUAUGUGUAUUUUCUCUUGUACUAAGGAAAAAAAAAAUGUAUUUUCUGCCUUUCAUUUCUACUAUUUUUCUUUAGUUCCACCAUCACUAGGAUGGAUUGUAAUAGCUACUUUAUCCACUUACGCUCGACUCGACUAAUUGUACUUUGUUAAAUAGAAUUGUUAUUUAUCUUUUCAGUUUGAA